UGUUGCACUCUCCACCUGCAAAACCAAUCGUCCGAUCUGAUAUCAGCGUUUUAAAUAUCUCCGGCACCGUCCAGACUUUCAAUGGCUCCCGUUGUUCCUAGAUCCGGUGAUGCUAUAUUCGCCAACUUUGAGCGUGUGAACGCUGAGUUGUUUACUUUGACGUAUGGAGCGAUAGUUGCUUACAGAUCUGGAAGAGGUUGAGGAAGUUAAUAAGCAGCUUGAUCAAAUGUUCAGUUGUUUUUUGUUUGAUUAGGGGUUACAAUAUUGCAGAAUCCAUAUCCAUCUACAAUAGAGAAAAAAAUACAUAAAGUUACUCAAAACGUUAAUAAGGAAAUUGAGUGAAAAGCUAUCAAAGUUAAACCAACAACAUACCGGUGUGUUGCCCUUCUUCUUCCUGACUUUAUUUUGUGAAUCACUCAUGACUUUAAUAAAUCAGCAGCUAUAUCCAAAAUCAAAACACAAUUUAAGAAACAAAUCUAAAUAAAAGCUAUCACAUUUAACUGUCAGUCAACUAAAGAAAGAAGCUGAAAUGAAGUAGAUUCCAUAAAUAUGAAGUAAUGCUUUUUCAAACAAGGAGUUGUAGUUCUAAUCUGGUUGCUCUCAUUUCCAGUGCUUAUUAUCAAGUUUAAUUAUGUUGAAAACUGUACUCAGGUCAACCACCAAUACAUGAGUUGGAAGCAAGUUUUUAAUGUUAACCAAUACAUGAGUUCUUAAUCUGAUUGAUUAUAUUAAUCAAGAAACAAAAAUCUACAUAUCAAGAAACAAAAACUCAGUUGGCGGUCAAACAAAAAUCUAAAUAAAAAUCUACAUAUCAAGAAACAACAACUAUAUCCAAAAAACAAAACGAGAUUCUGAUUAAGCAUAUCAUCAAACAGUUGGCGGUCAAACAUAAGGCAUGAUAAUGUCCGAUGAUGAAGGUCUUACCUUAACCAACUGUUUAAACAAAACGAGAUUCUGAUUAAAGUGUCUUACCUUAACCCAACUGUUUUCACGCUAUCCGAUGAUGAAGGUCGAUUAGCCAAUGUCCGAUGAUGAAGGUCGAAGGGAUGGCCGGCGUUGAAGGUCGAAGGGAUGGCAGGCGAUGAAGGUCGAAGGGGUGAGCGGCGACUAAAUUAGGAAAUUAGGGUUUGGUUAUUUUGGAGCGUGAAGUGAAGGAUGGAUUUCAAAAUUUUGGGUGUCGAUGAAGACUGAAGUCGCAUGGGUCAGGGAUAUGCUUAGAGGAGAUGAUGCGUUUGAGUUACAGGUGAAGCUUCUUAAACAAGUUCCAGAGGAAUAUCCGUACAAAGAUGACGAGUAACAUGUUUUCUUUAAUCGUUAUCUUUAUUAAUGUUUAUACAUUAUGAUUUUUGCAUUUCCGUUUUGGUUUGUAAUAAAUUGAUAACGUAUUCCUAAGUACUUUUGACUUAUGUUUUAGUUCGAGUGUUGCUGUAUUGAGGAUUUGGAUAGAACUAUUAGUGUUAUUGUUAUGGUUAUAUGAUUGUUGAUGUUUGCUUUG
Molecule: long non-coding RNA, 1495 nt
Filed under: Helianthus annuus (common sunflower)
Lineage: Eukaryota; Viridiplantae; Streptophyta; Magnoliopsida; Asterales; Asteraceae
Description: hypothetical non coding rna
Source: RNAcentral